This 1031-nucleotide long non-coding RNA is filed under the name Eutrema salsugineum. RNAcentral's name for it is "long non-coding RNA (ESAL_LNC001247)". Lineage: Eukaryota; Viridiplantae; Streptophyta; Magnoliopsida; Brassicales; Brassicaceae. The record is from RNAcentral.
UAGAGGAGAGUUGUGUCGACAACUCUCUGAAGGUAUUUUCCCAAAAACAUUAUACACAAUUAUAUAGAAACUAUCUUGCAAGGAAAUCCUAACAUAUAUGGGCCUACAACAUCACACUACAUUGGGCUUAGACUUGGACUUGUGUUCAAUACUACCCCGCAAACUUAGCGUAAAGUGCGAAGCUAAGUUUGGAAACAUAAGUGCAGCCGCAUGAACAGAGGAAAGAGAGCUCGAAGCAAGUUGUCUGAAGUAGUCAAUUACCUCACUCCACCAUAAAAUCAGUCAUUAGUGUGAGAUCUAUUCAGGUCUAUCUUUGUAGCCUAUUUAUCUCACGAAGAGUCCGGAUUUUCUUUACCUCGUUUAACUCUCCUAAGCUGUCUCAUAAUGAAGGUGAGUCUUCUUCCACAUCUAACGACACACUAAUCACUCUCAGCCUCGUAUCAAGAACUACAACACUAUGCUAACUCACUGCUACUAAUCAUUCUGUCUUCCUCUUUGGCAUAUCAUCGAACACCUUAUGUGCGCUCACCAAACCGAAAACUUUCAGCCAUAAUCCAAUCUUUAUAAGACCCAAUCCUAGCUUCAACGUUCCAUACACAAGUCUUCGGAUUUGACACGCAGACCUUCUCCUCUCGCUCACUCUCUGACUUCUUUAGUUUCAUUUCUCUUUGGAUUUGAGGAAGACCAGCGGAGCUUUUGGCGGAGCUUUUGGCGGAGCUUUUGAAAAAGACGAAGUCUUGGAUACAGCAGCAGUGGUGUAUGAGAAAGGCCAUAAACUGGUUGAAUAAGAAAUCUAUAAAUCCCAUAGAACGACUGAAGCUCUGAUACCAUGUAGGAUAAUUCAAGCAAGGAUUAUUCAUGCUCUGAAGGAGCUUAAUAAGAUAAAUAAAAGAUAGAGAAAAUUAAAUAGCUCACUGAGCUUUAUUGAAUGCAAGGAAAGUAAAGAUGAGAAAACUUUAUUUAGAAUACCAAGAUUAAUAAAGUUUUGGAUUGAUAUCAUAAAUUUAGAAGAGGAGAGUUGUGUCGACAAC